CAUACCAAAGUAUUUUGAUGCCUACUACCCCUUUUGGAACUGCAGGCACUCAUCUGUUUUCACAGCUCUCAAAGCCCAUUGGACUUGCCUCUGAAGAGCCCACCCCCCUACUUUGCUCUGAUUGGUCAGGGUAAACGUCUAUCUACAAUCUAGCGCGAUUCAGAAAAAAAGUGAAAAAACCAGGCUUUUACCGAUAUUUUGAACAAGUCAUUACUUCUUACGCUCUGUUAUGCUCCCCAUCUCCCCCCGACUCCCCUGAAGUGAAAUCUGACUGGAACUUUACUCCGUCGGAACUGGAUUGGAAUCCAUUGGAUCGGAACUCCGCCUUCAUUUUGUGACCGUGAAAGCUAACAACAAUAGCACCCCCGCUAACAGCCGGACAUGCACCUGGAUGGAGAGAGAGCAAGGAGAAGUGAGGGGAAGACCAGCGGAUACAAAUUGUCUGGUCCUCUGCUUUGGACUUCUCAUGACCAUAUUUAUAACCUGGAAUACUUUUAGAAGGAACCCUUUUGAUUUUUGUGAUCUGUGGACCCUUACCGACGAAAGGAAUACAAACAAUGGAGGAAUGGAGCGAGAAUCUGGAGUUCUACACGUCCAAAAGGAAAUGCUGUAUUUGGAUGGAAACCUGGCUAGUGUGCUGACAGUACAUUAAUCAUAGGACACACACACACACAAAAAAAAAACACAACACUUUCAACCACAUCUCAUGGUCAUCCUCAGCACAGGGAGAUGUACACUUGUCACUGAGGUGCUUCAGAAACAACACGUAAGAUUGGACCUUGUGUUGUUUGUGUUGUUUCUAAAGUCAAGAAUAAACCCUCAAACCCAAAUAAGAAA
Molecule: long non-coding RNA, 837 nt
Organism: Seriola aureovittata
Lineage: Eukaryota; Metazoa; Chordata; Actinopteri; Carangiformes; Carangidae
Exons: 2
Source: RefSeq, a predicted model, not a curated record